AGGGCGUAUGGGGAAUGCCUAGGCACACUCCGGCGAAGAAGGACGCAGCAAACAGCGAAAUGCGACGGUGAGCGGUAAGCACGUGAAGAGCCGUCGAUAUCCGAAUGGGGGAACCCACACGGAGUCAUAUCCGUGUAUCACAUGUCGAAUACAUAGACAUGAUGAGGCGAGACGCAGGGAACUGAAACAUCUAAGUACCUGCAGGAAGAGAAAAUAAGAAUGAUUUUCUGAGUAGCGGCGAGCGAAAGGGAAAGAGCCCAAACCGAUCUGAGGAUCGGGGUAGUAGGAUCAUCGAGAAAUCAAACAGAGGAUCAUAGAGGAAUCACAUGGGAAGGUGAGCGAGAGAGGGUGAGAGCCCCGUACUCGAAAUGAGAGACUGGAGAGAGAUGACACCUGAGUAGGGCGGGACACGAGAAAUCCUGUCUGAAUCAGCCGGGACCAUCCGGCAAGGCUAAAUACGAGAGAGUGACCGAUAGUGAACCAGUACCGUGAGGGAAAGGUGAAAAGAACCCCGGGAGGGGAGUGAAAGAGAACCUGAAACCAUAUGCCUACAAGAAGUCAGAGCCCGUUAAAGGGUGAUGGCGUGCCUUUUGUAGAAUGAACCGGCGAGUUACUGUAUGGAGCGAGGUUAAGCAGGAUAUGCGGAGCCGAAGCGAAAGCGAGUCUUAAGAGGGCGCGAGUUGCAUGCAGUAGACCCGAAACCGGGUGAUCUAGCCAUGACCAGGUUGAAGUUGGGGUAAAACCCGAUGGAGGACCGAACCGACCCCCGUUGAAACGUUGGCGGAUGAGUUGUGGCUAGGGGUGAAAUUCCAAUCGAACCCGGAGAUAGCUGGUUCUCCCCGAAAUAGCUUUAGGGCUAGCGUCGAGAGAAGAGUUGCGUGAAGGUAGAGCACUGAAUAUGUGAUGGCCCCAUCUCGGGGUACUGAGCAUAAUCAAACUGCGAAUGUCACGCCAACAUGCUCGGCAGUCAGACAGCGGGUGAUAAGGUCCGUUGUCAAGAGGGAAACAGCCCAGACCAUCAGCUAAGGUCCCAAAAUGUAUGCUAAGUGGAAAAGGAUGUGGAGAUGUACAGACAACUAGGAGGUUGGCUCAGAAGCAGCCAUCCUUUAAAGAGUGCGUAACAGCUCACUAGUCGAAUGACUCUGCGCCGAUAAUUUACCGGGGCUAAGCAUACUACCGAAGCUAUGGAUCCCAAGGGAUGGUAGGGGAGCGUUCCAUGAACGGAGAAGUACGACCGAAAGGACGUGUGGAGAUCAUGGAAGAGAGAAUGCCGGUGUGAGUAGCGGAACGUGGGUGAGAAUCCCACGCACCGAAAACCCAAGGUUUCCAGAGGAAGGUUCGUCCGCUCUGGGUAAGUCGGGACCUAAGGCGAGGCCGAAAGGCGUAGUCGAUGGACAACAGGUAGAGAUUCCUGUACCCGUAUAUAUGUGAAGGAAUGACGGAGAGAGGAAGCUGCAGCCAGCGGCUGGAAGAGCUGGUGCAAGCGAGAUAUCGGGAUGGCAGGCAAAUCCACCAUCCGAAACGAGAAGGCGUGAAGCGUACGGAAAGCUACGGCGAGUACGGAAGGCAGUGGAGGAACUUCCAAGAAAAGUUUCUAGCAUAAGUAUAUAUGGCCCGUACCGAAAAUGGACACACAUGGGUGAGGAGAGAAUCCUAAGGUGAGCGAGAGAACUAUAGCUAAGGAACUCUGCAAAAUGACUCCGUAACUUAGGGAGAAGGAGUGCUCAUAGAGAUAUGAGCCGCAGUGAAACGGCCCAAGCGACUGUUUACCAAAAACACAGCUCUCUGCUAAGCCGCAAGGCGAAGUAUAGGGGGUGACGCCUGCCCGGUGCUGGAAGGUUAAGGGGAGGGGUUAACGCAAGUGAAGCCCUGAACUGAAGCCCCAGUAAACGGCGGCCGUAACUAUAACGGUCCUAAGGUAGCGAAAUUCCUUGUCAGGUAAGUUCUGACCCGCACGAAAGGCGUAACGAUUUGGGCGCUGUCUCAGCUGUAGACUCGGUGAAGUCUUAGUACCUGUGAAGAUGCAGGUUACCCGCGACUAGACGGAAAGACCCCAUGGAGCUUCACUGCAGGUUGAUAUUGGGAUUUGAUGCAGCAUGUACAGGAUAGGUAGGAGGCAAAGAGAUGGAUACGCCAGUAUUCAAGGAGCCGCUGUUGGGAUACUACCCCUGUUGUAUUGGAUUUCUAACCGGACGACGUAGAGCCGUUGACGGGACAGUGUCAGUCGGGCAGUUUGACUGGGGCGGUCGCCUCCCAAAGAGUAACGGAGGCGCCCAAAGAUACCCUCAGCUUGGAUGGAAACCAAGCGCAGAGUGCAAAGGCAAAAGGGUGUUUGACUGCGAGACCUACAAGUCGAGCAGGGACGAAAGUCGGGCUUAGUGAUCCGGCGGUGCUGAAUGGAAAGGCCGUCGCUCAACGGAUAAAAGCUACCCUGGGGAUAACAGGC
Molecule: ribosomal RNA, 2446 nt
Filed under: human gut metagenome
Description: bacterial LSU rRNA
Rfam family: Bacterial large subunit ribosomal RNA
Source: RNAcentral